Molecule: small nucleolar RNA, 107 nt
Organism: Mangifera indica (mango)
Lineage: Eukaryota; Viridiplantae; Streptophyta; Magnoliopsida; Sapindales; Anacardiaceae
Source: RefSeq, a predicted model, not a curated record
AAACAAUGAUGAAGGCACUAUCUUUGUAAAUCCUUAAACCUCUCCCAAGCUUUAUAUAAAGACUCAUCAUCCAUUUGGUAAAAAGUAGCGAUCUCGUUUCUCAACUU